Molecule: ribosomal RNA, 647 nt
Filed under: uncultured bacterium
Lineage: Bacteria
Description: bacterial SSU rRNA
Rfam family: Bacterial small subunit ribosomal RNA
Source: RNAcentral
GGGUGCUACACAUGCAGUCGAACGAGAAAGUGGUAGCAUACCACGAGUAAGUGGCGCACGGGUGAGUAACACGUGACUAACCUACCCUUGAGUGGGGGAUAACUGAGGGAAACCUUAGCUAAUACCGCAUAAUACCCACGGGUCAAAGGAGCAAUUCGCUCGAGGAGGGGGUCGCGGCCGGUUAGUUAGUUGGCGGGGUAAUGGCCCACCAAGACGAUGAUCGGUAUCCGGCCUGAGAGGGCGCACGGACACACUGGAACUGAAACACGGUCCAGACUCCUACGGGAGGCAGCAGUGGGGAAUUUUGCGCAAUGGGGGAAACCCUGACGCAGCAACGCCGCGUGGAGGAUGAAGUCCUUCGGGACGUAAACUCCUUUCGAUCGGGACGAUAAUGACGGUACCGGAAGAAGAAGCCCCGGCUAACUUCGUGCCAGCAGCCGCGGUAAUACGAGGGGGGCGAGCGUUGUUCGGAAUUAUUGGGCGUAAAGGGUGCGUAGGCGGUUUGGUAAGUCUUUUGUGAAAUCUCUGGGCUCAACUCAGAGUCUGCAAGGGAAACUGCCGGGCUGGAGUGUGGGAAGGUGAGUGGAAUUUCCGGUGUACGGUGAAAUGCGUAAUUCGGAAGGAACACCUGUGGCGAAAGCGGUCAC